RNAcentral lists this ribosomal RNA (253 nucleotides) under uncultured bacterium. Its description in RNAcentral is "partial 16S ribosomal RNA". It matches the Rfam family "Bacterial small subunit ribosomal RNA", at positions 524 to 776 of the family's 1533-position model. The record is from RNAcentral.
UACGUAGGGUGCAAGCGUUGUUCGGAAUCACUGGGCGUAAAGCGCACGUAGGCGGCUUUUUAAGUCAGGGGUGAAAUCCUGGAGCUCAACUCCAGAACUGCCUUUGAUACUGAGAAGCUUGAGUCCGGGAGAGGUGAGUGGAACUGCGAGUGUAGAGGUGAAAUUCGUAGAUAUUCGCAAGAACACCAGUGGCGAAGGCGGCUCACUGGCCCGGUACUGACGCUGAGGUGCGAAAGCGUGGGGAGCAAACAGG